RNAcentral lists this unclassified non-coding RNA (377 nucleotides) under Hevea brasiliensis (rubber tree). The record is from RNAcentral. Lineage: Eukaryota; Viridiplantae; Streptophyta; Magnoliopsida; Malpighiales; Euphorbiaceae.
AGAGUUGACUAAUUGUUGUCAGCUUGUCCAAGAGAACUUAAGAGGUGAAGUGUUUUCCCAUUACAUAUUCAUGGUUUUUAAAACAAUAACCAUAAGAAGGAGCUGUUGGAUCUGCUGCCUCUAGUUUGGCCCAUUUGCUUGGUGAUGUUUCAGGGUUACACCUGGUUUUUGGUCUUUCGUUACCUUAUCAUUUUUCACGUUGACAACUGCUGGCAUGCCCGUGUGUCAUUUAGCUGGCUUUUAAUUGUAGCCAUGUAAUUGUGUGCUCUGUUGCACUCAUCUGUUUUUGGUUUAAAUUAUCGUCUUCAUAUGAACAUACUGCUGUAUAAUAGACUUAUUUGCAAUCUUUUCCGUAUUUCAGAGAGGCUAUUAUCAGA